Suricata suricatta (meerkat) is the source of this 477-nucleotide long non-coding RNA. RefSeq lists it as uncharacterized. The record is from RefSeq and is a predicted model, not a curated record. The transcript is spliced from 2 exons. Lineage: Eukaryota; Metazoa; Chordata; Mammalia; Carnivora; Herpestidae.
AUGCCUGCCCCCCCUCUCCAGGAUAGUCUGGGUGCUCUGGACAUUUCUUUGACAUCCAAAGAAGGGUUUGGAGUAGGGAGAUUGAUGGGGUCCAUUCAGGAGUGUGCUCUUUAGGUGGAAAGAAUAAAAGGCUAACUUAUGACGACUGAGGAAGGAAGGAAGAGGACUUGACCUAAGGGAGGUCCUUGCCAGAUGGAAAAAGGAGAGGGGACUGCUCCUUCCUUCAUAGGUGGAUAUAAAAAUGGGAGAGGACAUGGAGCGGAAGGCCAGGGAUCAGCAGUGAAUGACCCCGGUGACCAUCUGCUGUGGCUAUAGGUGAGGCGUCGGCAACAGGCAGAGGGUAGAUUCUUGUCACAUCGUCAUAGACCCUGAAGCCCCUCUCUCCUCACCCACCCCAGCUCUCUGUCAUGAAACGUUUCCCAGGCCACUGUAGUUGGAACCUGGAAAUGCAAAAUAAAAGAACAAAAAUGGACGGUG